This 24-nucleotide non-coding RNA is filed under the name Arabidopsis thaliana (thale cress). Lineage: Eukaryota; Viridiplantae; Streptophyta; Magnoliopsida; Brassicales; Brassicaceae. The record is from RNAcentral.
UGUGAAUUUGCAUGUAUCCGAUGC